RNAcentral lists this ribosomal RNA (512 nucleotides) under uncultured bacterium. RNAcentral describes it as "partial 16S ribosomal RNA". It matches the Rfam family "Bacterial small subunit ribosomal RNA", at positions 28 to 507 of the family's 1533-position model. The record is from RNAcentral.
GACGAACGCUGGCGGCGUGCCUAAUACAUGCAAGUCGAGCGAGCGGAACUAACAGAUUUACUUCGGUAAUGACGUUAGGAAAGCGAGCGGCGGAUGGGUGAGUAACACGUGGGGAACCUGCCCCAUAGUUUGGGAUACCACUUGGAAACAGGUGCUAAUACCGGAUAAGAAAGCAGAUCGCAUGAUCAGCUUUUAAAAGGCGGCGUAAGCUGUCGCUAUGGGAUGGCCCCGCGGUGCAUUAGCUAGUUGGUAAGGUAAAGGCUUACCAAGGCGAUGAUGCAUAGCCGAGUCGAGAGACUGAUCGGCCACAUUGGGACUGAGACACGGCCCAAACUCCUACGGGAGGCAGCAGUAGGGAAUCUUCCACAAUGGACGCAAGUCUGAUGGAGCAACGCCGCGUGAGUGAAGAAGGUUUUCGGAUCGUAAAGCUCUGUUGUUGGUGAAGAAGGAUAGAGGUAGUAACUGGCCUUUAUUUGACGGUAAUCAACCAGAAAGUCACAGCUAACUACGUG